This 390-nucleotide ribosomal RNA is filed under the name Triticum aestivum (bread wheat). RNAcentral describes it as "partial small subunit ribosomal RNA". The record is from RNAcentral. Lineage: Eukaryota; Viridiplantae; Streptophyta; Magnoliopsida; Poales; Poaceae.
AUGACAGAAUCAGGUGGGGCGCUGCCGGCGAGUCUUAAUCGAUCUACCACAUGCGAUGAUGGGGGAGUAGCUAGCCAGAAGGCAGAUCCAGCCGGCCGUGGAGCUACUCUGGUUCUUUCCAAAAGGAAAUUACCAGCAGUUCGAAAACGGAAAGGGAUGAACCAAAAAGAAACACCACAGAGUUUACGUGAGCCUGGGAAAGAAAGUAUUGAACUGAAGGAAUCAUCUGGGGUUUGCGAUGUGAUGCUUGAAUUUGACCAAUUUGUGCAGUACCAUGAGAUGAAGAAGAAAACAGAGGAAUUUGUUAGUAGUCAAGACAAAAUUGUGAGCCAAGGAACACUCAGUAGCAGCCAGGAAGAAGACCAGCGAACUCAGAUCGAAAAAAAAUGA